This 23-nucleotide non-coding RNA is filed under the name Cricetulus griseus (Chinese hamster). Lineage: Eukaryota; Metazoa; Chordata; Mammalia; Rodentia; Cricetidae. The record is from RNAcentral.
AUUUUCAUACUGGCAUUGUAGAC